Oreochromis niloticus (Nile tilapia) is the source of this 260-nucleotide long non-coding RNA. RefSeq lists it as uncharacterized. The transcript is spliced from 3 exons. The record is from RefSeq and is a predicted model, not a curated record. NCBI's taxonomy places the organism in Eukaryota, Metazoa, Chordata, Actinopteri, Cichliformes, Cichlidae.
CCGCAGUGUGUUUGUAACAGGGCCGUGGUUUGUGGACCCCUCUCUUCGCGCUUCCUUCUUUCUCAAAGUUUCAUGAACUUUGUGUUGCAUGUAAUCGUCUCAGUGUGAAGCUCCAUCUGAAGCUGGAAACAACAUGUUUAUGUAAUUGCCAGUUAAAAGAGAGAGCGAGGAACGCGGAGAAAGGAUUCUACAAGAGCCGGAAGAACCAGGUGAAGGUAGAAAGUGUGUGUGAGCUGAAUUGAGCAGCAUGGAUCAGUGUG